This 91-nucleotide transfer RNA is filed under the name Thiomonas islandica. RNAcentral's name for it is "tRNA-Ser". It matches the Rfam family "tRNA". Rfam says of the family: Transfer RNA (tRNA) molecules are approximately 80 nucleotides in length. RNAcentral also lists the same sequence under 2 other names. Lineage: Bacteria; Pseudomonadati; Pseudomonadota; Betaproteobacteria; Burkholderiales. The record is from RNAcentral.
GGAGAGAUGGAUGAGCGGUUUAAGUCGCACGCCUGGAAAGCGUGUAAGGGUGAAUAGCCCUUCGGGGGUUCGAAUCCCCCUCUCUCCGCCA